UUAUGCAGAAAAAACUUAUAUUGUUAGUUUUUUUAUUACUUAUGAAUUAUUCCACAUCUGUUAAUAAAAUAACAAAGUUCUUAUGAUUUGUAGGAAAUCUUAAUGAUCCUUUUAAUAAAGUAAAAUUCCGUAAACACAUUUUACAUUUAUGUGGUGGGUGUUUGAAGAACCUUCAAAGUGGUUUUGAAAAGUUGUAUGAUGUUUGUUGGAUUUGCCAUAACGCAGACUUUAAAAAGAAAGAUUGGGUGCAGUGUCCACAGUGGUACCAUUGCGAAUGUGCAAUUUCUAUCAAAGACGCAGACGUAAGUGAUAAUUUUCAAUGCCAAAGAAAAAGUAUUUUAAAAACGGCUAUUUUCAUAGCCACAAAUGUUCAAAAAACAUUAAAUGACAUAGAAAGCAAAUUUCUUGAAAGAGAAUUAUCGACUAUAUAUAUUUGGAUUAAAAAUAUUUGACAGUAUAAAUGGAGUUUUAAAAAAUAAUUGCACAUACCACCAAUCAUUGAAAUGGAAAAGUACCUUAAGAAGUAAUGUAUUUUUUGUUUUCUUUGUUUUUCAAACUGUUUAUUAUUUUCAUCAAUGUUGAUGAAUAUGACCAUUAUUAUCAGUUGUAAGUGAUAACUUUCUAUAAUAAAUGAGUUUAAAUGGUAAUGAGUAA
Molecule: long non-coding RNA, 654 nt
Organism: Hydra vulgaris (swiftwater hydra)
Lineage: Eukaryota; Metazoa; Cnidaria; Hydrozoa; Anthoathecata; Hydridae
Source: RefSeq, a predicted model, not a curated record